UGUCUCAACAUCUGUAUGGAGGAGACUGGAGAUGACUGACCCCAGCAGCCAAGGUGUUGGAGCAGCUCAUAGGCCAGACCCCUGUGUUCUCCAAAGUCAAAUACAUUGUCAGAUCCUUUGGCAUCAGGAGAAGUGAAGAUUGCCACCCACUGCACAAAGGGCCAAAGCAGAAGAAACCCUGAAGAAAGGUCUAAAGAUGCAGGAGUGUGAAUCAAGAAAGAACAACUUCUCAGAUACUGGAAACUUUGGUUUGGAGAUCCAGGAACACACAGAUUUGGGUAUCAAAUGUGACCCAUGCAUUGGUAUCUACAGCCUGGACUUCUGUAUGGUGCUGGGUAGGCCUGGUUUCAGCACUGCAGACACAUAGCACAGAACAGGCUGCACUGGGGCCAAACACAGAAUCAACAAAGAGGCCAUGCACUGGUUCCAAAAAGAA
Molecule: long non-coding RNA, 436 nt
Filed under: Homo sapiens (human)
Lineage: Eukaryota; Metazoa; Chordata; Mammalia; Primates; Hominidae
Description: non-protein coding lnc-IDE-2:1
Source: RNAcentral